Molecule: ribosomal RNA, 430 nt
Filed under: uncultured bacterium
Lineage: Bacteria
Description: bacterial SSU rRNA
Rfam family: Bacterial small subunit ribosomal RNA
Source: RNAcentral
CGCGAAGAACCUUACCAGGUCUUGACAUCCUUUGACCAUCCUAGAGAUAGGGCUUUCCCUUCGGGGACAAAGUGACAGGUGGUGCAUGGUUGUCGUCAGCUCGUGUCGUGAGAUGUUGGGUUAAGUCCCGCAACGAGCGCAACCCUUAUUGUUAAUUGCCAUCAUUUAGUUGGGCACUCUAGCGAGACUGCCGCAGACAAUGCGGAGGAAGGUGGGGAUGACGUCAAAUCAUCAUGCCCCUUAUGACCUGGGCUACACACGUGCUACAAUGGAGAGUACAACGAGUUGCGAAGUCGUGAGGCUAAGCUAAUCUCUUAAAGCUCUUCUCAGUUCGGAUUGUAGGCUGCAACUCGCCUACAUGAAGCCGGAAUCGCUAGUAAUCGCGGAUCAGCACGCCGCGGUGAAUACGUUCCCGGGUCUUGUACACACC